UGUCUGUGCAAUAAGAACAAUGUGUUAACUGCUGCUGUCUCAAAGCACCUUCUCAGAACCUCUCCACCAGAAUUGAUCCGGCACUCCAGCAGUGCUUGAAAGUUAUCAGGAGUAAAGAGACCUUCUGGGAUUUCAUCAGUUUCAUAUCCAGCCAGAGGUAUGUUCUGUUUUCCCAUAAGAAUCAAAAUUUCAAAUAAAGAUUUUAAGUAUUCUUUGUUUUCCUUCUCUUCAAGGGUUAAAGUUAAAAUGUCUUCACCCUGCUCUUCACUCCCUUCUUCUGCACUGGGGUUCUGAGCAUUGUUGCUGUUUAUUUCCUUAUGUUUUGGUUCCUGUUCAGAAGUUUCAUCAAUUUUUUUCUGUUUCAGUGUCCUGAUUUCAUCUUCACUCAAUUCUUUUAUUCGUUUUCUGUGUCUACUAUGUGGAUUAUUCAAAUGGCUGGUAAGAUCAAAUAUUGUUGGCAUUGCAUUAUCUCGAAGAACUGUCCUAUAAGGACUCUCCCAAUGACUUCACAUGUAUUUGCUUCAAGUAAUUUUGAGAAAUACAAUAACCCAAUCAUUCUUUAGUUUUCUGAUGCCUCUGCAAAAUGUAUAGUUCUACAGAUCGUAGACGUCUCAAAGUGUUUGGCACACAAUCAGUAAUGUUUAUUUAGUUUAUCAGGUGUUUUAUCUUCUAAGUCUGCUCUCCUACAAUUCUCCACCGACUUCUGGCAACUGGCUGGAUCCCAUGGGAACCUGAAAAAGGCCAGGUCCGACUGCGUGCUCUUCCGCGUGCAGUUGGGGGCCCGCGCAGAAGUUCCGCAUCGUAGUCUGCCAGCCGGCUGGCCCAGCCCUCACAGCCCUCGCGCUGCCGCUGCUGGUGCACCUCCCGCCCGCCCAGGACGCUGCCGCCUCCUUACCACCCGCAUUGGCCCUUAUGUCUUGCAAACUUCUCUCCAUACAUUGGCUGGUUCUGAUGGUGCUGACCACAGCACGAGGCCUCUGGGAGCUGAGGGAAUUCCCCCGUUGUGCUGGGUUCUGGCUCGCCUGCAUUCCUUGCCUUCCUCUGGUGCUGCCCUGGCUCAGGGUUCGGCCACCAUAGAAGAAGUCUGAUUAUGCUGAGACUACCAGACUCUUAAGGAAGCCUAAGUGAGCCACUUGAAGAUGUCACAUGAAGGAGGAUCAAAGUGCUUUGAUUGACAGCCCCACAUGAAAUCCCAGCCUCCAGGCAGCACCAUCUGCCACUGUCCUGGAAAUUACGAAUCAGUUGCGCCUCCAGUGAGCCGUCUUGGACAUUCCAGACCAGUUGAGCCUCCAGAUGACUGCAGCCACAGCUCAACCCACGUAAGGAAGAACCCAGGAAAUGUUUUCCACCUGCCUUAAGAACAGUAGCAAUAUCACUGACCCCAUGAAAAUGAGAAGACACAAAUUAGCUGAAGAAGCAUCAGCAUGUUUUUAAAAAUUCACAGGAUUAGGAAGUUCCCCACACCCUCUCAUCAAGAACAGUGAUGCCAGAGUGGUCCAUCUGGUGUGUCAGGCUGCAGGCUGGUACCCAGAGCCUGAGGCAAGCUGGGGAGAUCCCUAAGGACAGAAUUUAAAGCCGCACUCUGAAAACAACAGAGCAGGUGGAAACAGCCUGUUCUCCACUGAGUCUUCAGUCCUGGUAGCCAUGACCUCUUUGGUCCUCAACCCCAGGCUCAACGAGAAGAAGGAAAUAACUAUUUCUGUUGUCAGAAAUAAUAUAUGGAUAACUUUGAGUAUUAUUUUAGCUGUGGUCUGCAUUUCCGUGGUUGUUUUCUUCAUUGCAGUGCAAAGAAGAUCUAAAAAAUCAUAAAAUUGUAACAGGAGCCCCAAAUGGUUGAACCCCCUACUUCCAGGAAAAACCACCCUAUUUCACCUGAACUGUCCAACUUGACCAAUCUUACUCCAGCCUUUUAUUAUUUAAAUGCGGACAAAAAUCACAUCUCAGAAUUGUGCGGGCCUCUCACGUUGCGGAGCACAGGCUCCAGACGCGCAGGCUCAGCGGCCAUGGCUCACGGGCCCAGCCGCUCCGCGGCAUGUGGGAUCCUCCCAGACCGGGGCACAAACCCGUGUCCCCUGCAAAGGCAGGCGGACUCUCAACCAUUGCGCCACCAUGGAAGCCCGAAGUUCACAACUUUUUUAGCCAACCAAGAUCUGGCCAUAGGCAAUUACAAAGUCUUUCUGGACCUGAAACAUAGACUGCCAGAUAUUUCUCCAGCAAAGAUGGGUGUAUUCAGGAUCAGCAGAGAAUUGCAAUUUGGGAUCUGCAACCAUGGCGAGCCACAUGCAAGUCCCCACACAGCAAAAGAAGAAAAGGGGAAAAGGAAAUUGGGAGGGCUGCAGUUAACAAAGAGUCAGUGGUUUUCUUUGGCUGAGUCCUUGCCAGGAAAGGAGAGGAGACUUCUUCCUCUUGGGCUCUGCAAUGGCGCUGGGUGUGAGAGCUCCCCUUUCUGGUCUCCCAACUCUAUUUAAUGGAGGUUUCUGUUUAUUAAUUUUUUAUAGCUUUAUCUGGCUGCCCUCCCCACACCAGACUUGGAGCACAGCCUGUGCAUUGCAGUCUCUGAAAGGAAUUGCAGCAGGCCCACCCCAC
Molecule: long non-coding RNA, 2586 nt
Organism: Orcinus orca (killer whale)
Lineage: Eukaryota; Metazoa; Chordata; Mammalia; Artiodactyla; Delphinidae
Exons: 11
Source: RefSeq, a predicted model, not a curated record